Molecule: transfer RNA, 72 nt
Filed under: Protohalopteris sp.
Lineage: Eukaryota; Phaeophyceae; Sphacelariales; Stypocaulaceae
Description: tRNA-Ile
Rfam family: tRNA
About the family: Transfer RNA (tRNA) molecules are approximately 80 nucleotides in length. Their secondary structure includes four short double-helical elements and three loops (D, anti-codon, and T loops).
Source: RNAcentral
GGGCUUGUAACUCAGUGGUAGAGUGUGUGCCUGAUAAGCGUAAAGUCAGUCGUUCAACUCGGCUCUGGCUCA